GUACAGCCUAAAUACGUUACUCUUCGACAAUGAAGAUGGUUUCAUUGUAGAUAGCACAUUAGGAUUUGUCACAUAUACAGCCUAAAUAUGUAAGACUCCUAUACCAUGAAAGAUGCUUCCAUUGCAGAUAGCACAUUAGGAUAAGUCACAUAUACAGCCUAAAUAUGUAAGACUCCUAUACCAUGAAAGAUGCUUCCAUCGCAGAUGCACAUUAGGAUAAGUCACAUAUUAUACAGCCUAAAUAUGUGACACUCCUAUAAC
This is a long non-coding RNA of Mytilus californianus (California mussel), 261 nucleotides long. RefSeq lists it as uncharacterized. Lineage: Eukaryota; Metazoa; Mollusca; Bivalvia; Mytilida; Mytilidae. The transcript has 4 exons. The record is from RefSeq and is a predicted model, not a curated record.